CGGCCCACCAAGGCGACGAUGUCUAGGGGCUCUGAGAGGAGAAUCCCCCACACUGGUACUGAGACACGGACCAGACUCCUACGGGAGGCAGCAGUAAGGAAUAUUGGUCAAUGGGGGCAACCCUGAACCAGCCAUGCCGCGUGCAGGACGACUGCCCUAUGGGUUGUAAACUGCUUUUGCCGGGGAAUAAACCCCACUACGUGUAGUGGGCUGAACGUACCCGGAGAAUAAGGAUCGGCUAACUCCGUGCCAGCAGCCGCGGUAAUACGGAGGAUCCGAGCGUUAUCCGGAUUUAUUGGGUUUAAAGGGUGCGUAGGCGGCACUUUAAGUCAGGGGUGAAAGACGGCAGCUCAACUGUCGCAGUGCCCUUGAUACUGAAGUGCUUGAAUGCGGUUGAAGACGGCGGAAUGAGACAAGUAGCGGUGAAAUGCAUAGAUAUGUCUCAGAACACCGAUUGCGAAGGCAGCUGUCUAAGCCGUUAUUGACGCUGAUGCACGAAAGCGUGGGGAUCGAACAGGAUUAGAUACCCUGGUAGUCCACGCCCUAAACGAUGAUAACUCGAUGUUUGCGAUAUACCGUAAGCGUCCAAGCGAAAGCGUUAAGUUAUCCACCUGGGGAGUACG
This 623-nucleotide ribosomal RNA is filed under the name uncultured Sphingobacterium sp. RNAcentral describes it as "bacterial SSU rRNA". It matches the Rfam family "Bacterial small subunit ribosomal RNA", at positions 261 to 884 of the family's 1533-position model. Lineage: Bacteria; Pseudomonadati; Bacteroidota; Sphingobacteriia; Sphingobacteriales; Sphingobacteriaceae. The record is from RNAcentral.